Alosa sapidissima (American shad) is the source of this 1037-nucleotide long non-coding RNA. RefSeq lists it as uncharacterized. NCBI's taxonomy places the organism in Eukaryota, Metazoa, Chordata, Actinopteri, Clupeiformes, Clupeidae. The record is from RefSeq and is a predicted model, not a curated record. The transcript is spliced from 4 exons.
GUUGUCCUUGGCCCUCACAAGACACACAGUCUCACACAGGACUGCACUCAAGUGGACUUGAAAAAGAAACACUGAUGCUGUACAUAUUGGGGACUGUCAUUGGAAUCAUCUGCAUCAUAGUAUGCAUUUCCAAAGGACUGAAAGAGAAGGAUAGUAAGCAAGGAAAUGGCUGUCAACCUCCUCCACAAAAACAAGUGGCCAAUAAAAAAAAGAAUCUGACUGAACAGGACCUUUUACUUCUGGCCAGGAUCCUGACCAUUGGACUGGUAGACGCAGACCCUACCACCUUGCAGCACCUAAGGGAAUACAGAGACCUUAGAGGAAGCACCACGUGAUGCAGUGAUCACUGAUACGCCUGUGCUCGUGUCAAAGACCAGACACUCCACUGAGACUGUUAUUGUCUUUGUGACACUAUGGGAGUAAGUUAGUGUAUUUGGGACUGUUUUGACUAAAGGGAACCAUGACCUUUAAGAGGAUUAGUUCUGAACUCGACAUUCAUCACCUUUUGGUACAAAGCCAUCAAGGGUUUUGUUUUCCUGCUUGCCAGUAUCAACAGGUAGUGAGAAUGAAACCGCUGCCAGUAUACUACAGCACAAAUAUGAGAGGUUUUUUUUAUGUCUGACACACAAGUGAAAAUGAUAUUCCAAAAAAAAAACUGAUAUUCUAUAAAAAUUCCAGGAAAAAUGUACUGCGUGUUUGGUCAUCUGAGCAUUAGUAGUUCUGUGUUGCAAUACUGAGUGAGGAUCACCUUCACUAAGGGAAAUUUCCAGUUGAACAUUCUUUGGGCCUUAACUCAGAGAGUGUACAGAGCACAUGAGGAAAUGUUUGCCCAACACAGAGGUUCUAUGAAGCAUGACAAUUUGUAUGAGAAAGAAUGUGACAAGAGAGCGUGAGAAUUUUCUAUGAAAGUUUUUAUUUUUUUUAAUUAUUGUUGUGGAUUAUCAAUGGAUUUUGAACAUCUUUUAUUCUGCCAAAUGUGAGACAUAAUCUAGUAAAAUUGCAACGUUUCCCUUGCUUAUUUACAGAGGACAGGUUAA